CGGCGCUGCCCCGGUGUCGGGAGGGGCCGCCUCGCCGCUCGGCGCGGUGCCCGGGGCAGGGAGUUGAUGAUUAACGUGCGGGCCACUGAGUACCUGCCUAAAGUCGCGCCCAGGGUGGGGUUUAACCUUGUCAGAGGCUCGGUGCCUCUCGUGUGACUCUGCCCGAGGCCCUCGGGCGGCCAGUUCCGCUGCUGCCGCCGAAGCGCUGCGGGGAUGCGCAGCUCCCUGUUGAAAAUCUCUGCUCUAAAUCUCAGCCUAGAGCUCGCCUCGCAGUCGUUUUUGGAAGUUUCAGGCUCAAGAGGUCGAGGUGAUGUGGGGGUCUCGGCGAGCGUCUGCGCAGCAGCAGCCUCGGGCUGCGGGAGCUCGAGUGUUUGUGGCUGGCACUUGAAUCCAUGCUGGCCCCUUUUCCUCGGGCCGAGCUGCGAGGAGCUCGGCAGCUGCGGCAUUUAGUUCAAUUACUUCAGAUGAUCUGUAAAUUUUCAAUAAUGGCAAUACAUUCAUUCUGCCAUUUGGAGGAGCCUGUGCCACAGAAUAAUGAUCUGAAGAAAGCUCACUCAUUUGCAAGGAAGAGUCUUCAUUUGGGAAUUAGCACUGAUGCAGCUCAAGGGUGCUUUUUCGAGUCCAGACUCUUUCAGCAGAACUGUUAUUUUCCUAACACAACCUCUGGUACAAGGAUAAAAUUGGGUUUUUGUCAAAGAACAGAGUCCUGUGUCUGA
This is a long non-coding RNA of Serinus canaria (Common canary), 716 nucleotides long. Lineage: Eukaryota; Metazoa; Chordata; Aves; Passeriformes; Fringillidae. The record is from Ensembl.